GUUUGCUGUGGAAGGGGCUUCUUGCUUCAGCUUCUACAGUGGCGCUUCCUGUUUCUGCUCCUCUUCUUUCUCGUGAGGGUAUUGCAUUUCCUGUUUGCCCUCUGGUGUCUGUUAUUUUUCAUUUUGAAUCUAUGGGACUCCCUACUGCCUAGAGACUUUUUACAGUGUUGUGAAAAGAAAGUUCAGCUGACACAGUGAAUAAAACAAGUGCUUCUGGCUGGCCUUUCGGCAGAUGACUUCAGUUAUCAAUCAAACUCCCACGCAGCUGCAGCAAUGUGCUUUGACUGAUGACCCCAUAGUCCCCUCCCUAAGGGCUGGCUAAAGGUCCUUCUUCUCUACACUAACUCAGAAACAUUUGAUUAAUAAGUGGAAAGUUUCUCUGCUGUCUUAUUUUAUCUCAAUUCUGUUCAGCUUGCAUCUUCCCCCUUCUUCCCCCCCGUUUUCAAUGCUAGAGUUCAGUACAGUCACCUUGGGUGAAACAGUUAUGUACCUGCAUUGUUACACCAUAUCUGUGAGAAUUAGAUGCUGAUUUACACAUCUAAGAGGAAUUAUUUUGCUAUGAAAAUGAGAUUCAGUUGAUUUUAACUUUUUGACAUGAGGAAUAUGGCUUGAUCCCCUUUGACCUUUCUUAUCUAUAAUUUCUAUUGUUUUUAGUGAUACUAAUUUAUGAUGCCUCACUUUGUAGAACAUUGGCAUUUGGGAGAGGCAUAUUCUUCUGAGAACCUCUUGUGUAUUGGUGGCAGAGCAGAGACAGGGAUGUCUGGCUUGUUGAUUUUUUUUAAUGAGAGACUAUGAAUUUUCUUAGAUCCUGGGCCUUGUCGUAGG
Pogoniulus pusillus (Red-fronted tinkerbird) is the source of this 825-nucleotide long non-coding RNA. RefSeq lists it as uncharacterized. The transcript is spliced from 3 exons. The record is from RefSeq and is a predicted model, not a curated record. Lineage: Eukaryota; Metazoa; Chordata; Aves; Piciformes; Lybiidae.